GAGUUUGAUCCUGGCUCAGAUUGAACGCUGGCGGCAUGCCUUACACAUGCAAGUCGAACGGCAGCACGGGCUUCGGCCUGGUGGCGAGUGGCGAACGGGUGAGUAAUACAUCGGAACGUGCCCUGUUGUGGGGGAUAACCAGUCGAAAGAUUGGCUAAUACCGCAUACGACCUGAGGGUGAAAGCGGGGGACCGCAAGGCCUCGCGCAGCAGGAGCGGCCGAUGUCUGAUUAGCUAGUUGGUGGGGUAAAGGCCCACCAAGGCGACGAUCAGUAGCUGGUCUGAGAGGACGAUCAGCCACACUGGGACUGAGACACGGCCCAGACUCCUACGGGAGGCAGCAGUGGGGAAUUUUGGACAAUGGGGGCAACCCUGAUCCAGCAAUGCCGCGUGUGUGAAGAAGGCCUUCGGUU
This 412-nucleotide ribosomal RNA is filed under the name uncultured beta proteobacterium. RNAcentral describes it as "bacterial SSU rRNA". It matches the Rfam family "Bacterial small subunit ribosomal RNA", at positions 9 to 423 of the family's 1533-position model. Lineage: Bacteria; Pseudomonadati; Pseudomonadota; Betaproteobacteria. The record is from RNAcentral.